RNAcentral lists this microRNA (22 nucleotides) under Strongyloides ratti. RNAcentral's name for it is "str-miR-8369-5p". The record is from miRBase by way of RNAcentral. Lineage: Eukaryota; Metazoa; Nematoda; Chromadorea; Rhabditida; Strongyloididae.
CUGGAGCCCAGGUUGACAAUGC